GUAAGUUCUAGAUUUGGAGCCGAGAGAUAGCUAGGAUUGCUUCCAAAAACACUUUGUUCUUUUUCUUGUUCUUGCCUUUGUUUUAUUUUUUAUUUUUCACUAUUUUAUUCUUUUUUGUUUUUCUAAAUGCCUAGUGCUUUCCAAUGGGUCUCACUUGCAGCAAGCUGCGUUAAGGACUCAGAUUAACCAUUUUUGGUUAAAG
Molecule: unclassified non-coding RNA, 202 nt
Filed under: Hevea brasiliensis (rubber tree)
Lineage: Eukaryota; Viridiplantae; Streptophyta; Magnoliopsida; Malpighiales; Euphorbiaceae
Source: RNAcentral